This 253-nucleotide ribosomal RNA is filed under the name uncultured bacterium. RNAcentral describes it as "partial 16S ribosomal RNA". It matches the Rfam family "Bacterial small subunit ribosomal RNA", at positions 524 to 776 of the family's 1533-position model. The record is from RNAcentral.
UACAGAGGGGGCAAGCGUUAUUCGGAAUUAUUGGGCGUAAAGGGCGCGUAGGCGGCCUUUCAAGUGACGGGUGAAAUCCCUCGGCUUAACCGAGGAACUGCCUGUCAGACUGGGAGGCUUGAGACCGGGAGAGGUGAGUGGAAUUCCCAGUGUAGCGGUGAAAUGCGUAGAUAUUGGGAGGAACACCUGCGGCGAAGGCGGCUUCCUGGACUGCAACUGACGCUGAGGCGCGAAAGCUAGGGGAGCGAACGGG